This is a long non-coding RNA of Oncorhynchus tshawytscha (Chinook salmon), 1072 nucleotides long. NCBI's taxonomy places the organism in Eukaryota, Metazoa, Chordata, Actinopteri, Salmoniformes, Salmonidae. The record is from Ensembl.
CAUAGACACAGAGGCAUGCUUAGCUCUGCAGGAUAGAAUGCAUGUGUCAUUGUUUGUUGUAGGAAAAGCGUAAAAGAUCCAAUAACUUUGGUUUAGGUGCCAGAUACGGAGGAAUAUGGUAGGCAUCGGACAAAAGGCUUGAGCGGAGCACCUUGUGAGAGAGGGAGCAAGAGAGAGAGAGAGAGAUGGAGACGGAGCAAGAUGGAACAAGAUGGUGCCGACAGACAUGGUCACCCUGUUCCUAGCGCCUAACAAACUUUGCCAUAUAUAUUUUUUUGUGUUAUUUCUUACAUCAUUUGCUCAGAACAUUUCUUGCAAUAUUAGCUAGUCCGGAAAUACAUUUAGGAUAUUAGAUCAGCAGUCACUCACCAGCAUUUAAAAAAAAUAAUACUUUCCUGAAUUGGUUCCUUUGUUCUUAUCCCCCGAGGCAUUUCCACUCAUCCCAAGGGCUGCUCCAAGACGCUGCCAACGGAGAAGAGGAUUAUCGAGUGGACUUGUAGCAUCCACCGCUUCCGAGUAUCCCUGGACAAUAAAGUAUACGAGCUCAGGGUGAGGAUUUCUUUCCAGAGAGACAUCAGGGACUGUAACAUACUCUGUUUCACAGAAUCAUGGCUCUCUCCGGAUAUACUGUCCCUGUCCAUACAACCAGCGGGGUUCUCCUUACAUCGCACAGACAGGAAGAAAUACAUCUCUGGGAAAAAGAAAGGCAGAGGUGUAUGCUUCACCAUGAACUGGGGGCAGCAGGUAGCCUAGUGGUUAGAGCGUUGGACUAUUAACCGAAAACCGCUGCAAGAUCAAAUCCCCAAACUGACAAGGUAAAAAUCUGUCGUUCUGCCCCUGAACAAGGCAGUUAACCCACUGUUCCUAGGCCGUCAUUGAAAAUAAUAAUUUGUUCUUAACUGACUUGCCUAGUUAAAUAAAGGUAAAACAAAAUAAAAAAAACUACUCAUGGUGUGAUUGUGGUAAUGUACAAGAACUCAAGUCCUUUUGUUCUCCCGAUUUGGAAUACCUCACUAUCAAAUGCCGACCGCAUUACCUCCCGAGAGAAUUCUCUUUGGACAUUGUCACGGCC